GUUCGACAUGAGCGAUGGUUUCCGAUUGCUUGAAAACCAUGGCGUACUGAAAGCAAACAAACAUGAGAAAUUUCUUGAAGGCCUUGUCAACUACACAUGGAUCCUGCAGACCUCCCUGGAAAAUAUUAUUUUUUGGAACAGAUCGAUUCGCUGUCCAUCCACUGAAGGCUUUGCAUGAAAAUCAGAGAAGUUCAGGCUCAGUUGUAAAACGGAUUGAUGUUGUGUGUCCACCAGACAGACGCAAAGUGAUGAAGAAACCUUUGAAUGAAGAUGAUUCUACAAGAGAAUUUAGCAACAAACAUAAUAUUCCUAUUUAUUAUUGGAAUCACAAGGAAGGCUGGGACCUUAAUCAAGGGCCACCUGGUCCAUAUGACAUUGCAGUUGUUGCAUCCUUUGGCUACUUAAUACCUAACCAUGUUCUGGACAUGUUUCCGUGUGGUGCUAUAAACAUUCACCCAUCUCUCCUGCCGCAGUGGAAAGGAGCUGCGCCAAUGUCACAUGCAAUAUUAAGUGGAGCAAAGGAGACAGGGAUAUCCAUAGUUGAAGUAUCCAGAGACAGAUUUGAUGCUGGGCAGUGCUUACUUCAAGAAACAUUUAAGAUUUCAGAGGAUGUUAUGUACGAUGACCUUUCGAAUCAACUUGCAACACUUGGCACACAAAUGCUGAUGCAUGCUCUAGAGAAUUUAGAGUCUUUGCGCAAAAAUCCCAUACAGCGGGGAAAGAUGAAAGCCAGCUGGGCCCAUCGUCUGACUAAAGAGGACGGUUACAUUGACUGGACAGAUCACACUUGGUCUUAUAUCAGGAGGCGAUGGAAUGCUCUCUCUACCAGAGUUGGAGUUCAGACAAGCUGGGAAGGCAAAAAGGUCAAGUUAAUCAAAAUGUCUAAGGAGUGUCUUCAGUUAACAGCUGAAGAUACUGUGUCAACAAUUCCAGGGGAAGUGAAGUAUGAUAGAGAUCGUGAUGCCCUGUACAUUAGAUGUCGGGACGGUUGGGUUGGAAUAACAGAGCUACAGUUUGAAACCAAGACAGUCAUUACUGCUAAAGACUUUGCAAACGCAUAUCUUCAUGAAUCAGUUCGGAAUCCUUUGAAAUUGUGUUUUCAAAGUCUUCCGUGGAAAGAAAAAUGACUAUGCGCUCAAAAUAUUUGAUUUGUUAUCAAACGUACAUCUGACAUUGAAUUUUGGGCAGGUGUCGACGACAGCAGUGAGCUUUCAGCAUGGAGGCGGGUCGUUUGUAACCAUACUGGACAUUGCCUGAAAUGCAAUUCCUUCCGUACUGAUAACGGCCUAUCUCGAAAUGUAUUUAUCGAGCGUAACUUGCUGACUGUUGGUAGGUCGCAGGAAACAGGUCAUGGUCGCACAUAAUAAGCAUUAAUUAUUGCAGAAGAAAAGAAUUGCUAAAUUAAACCUACUCGUCUCUUGUCCAACAACGCUACACUUUUGAUGUUUCGUUCCUAUUUUUUUACUGUUUAAGUAGUACUGUUUUAUCCCCUAUAUCCAACUUGUGCCCAUCCCACUCAUCCCCAAGCUCCCCCAACCCCACAACUCCCGCUGUAGAACAUUUCUUUUCCUGUUUCCAUCUUUCCCUGCCUCACUCGUUAAACUUUUCAUCAUGUUUUUAACUAGUUUUAAACUUGUAUUAUUAGUAUCUGGAGAUUAGAAAGCCUGGAGACUCCAUACGUAACUAAUGCAUAUCUUUGAAAGGCAACAAUUUUUACUCAUCGCUCUUAAUGAUAAAAAAAAAUUUUACUUUGAGCAAGAACAGAUAACUAAGUGAGUUCAGCGUGAACGCUUUGGCAAAUCAAACUUUCGUCAUUUUCGAUUUGGUUGAGCUUCCGAGGUGAACAGUGACUGUUUGAUUUCCUCCGGGAAAGUACAUGUUUAACUGUUUUAUUUUCAGAGCUAAGAAAAUGUUUGAUGACUUUCCUCGACUUGGCGUAGUCAUCUGGAAAAAGGAAAGCUGUUACUGUGCGCAUUCAGCUUUUUAUCAACAGCGCUUGCAUUGUAUUCCCCCUUUCAUGAAGAAUGUAUUAUUCCCUUCUUGACGAGAGGAAAUGAAAAUUAACUUACAGUUGUCGUUGGUAAAUUCCAGGGGACUAAAAGUAGCCGUAAGCUCUACCUCCAACAAGAUAUAUACAGAAGUAACAAAAUUCGGCACCGCUGCAUUCAAACUUAAAAACAAUUUUGCCGAAAGUGGACGUACGAGUGUCUCGGGCGAUACCGAUGAAUAUCACCCGACUGUCUGAUUCUGAAAAGAAUCAUGUUUGUCACUUAUCUUUAUAUUCAACAAAAGAUCAAAUCAGGGUAAUAAAUGAAACAUUCCUUGAUGAAAUGUUUCUUAAACAGCUGAAACCAACUAUUGCUGCUUUUACACGUUACUGAUUAGUCGAGCUUUAUGUCAAUAACUCCUGCAUUCUAAUUGAUUCUUAUCUGAGUAACUAGGAAGUUUUCACCCAACUAAUCUGGCCUCGUUUCAUUUGUUUUGACACUGCCCAACAGUUAAAAAAGUCACCACGAUUUACCUAUCAACGUGAUCAAUCACAUAUGGCCCAAGCGUACUGUGCAUGAUUUUGGGGCUUAAAGGUCAUUUACGGGAAUACCUAACAUAUUAAGAUUGAAUUUUAAGCGUAAGCCUUGGCAAAAUUUUGUCGCGUUUGUUCAUGACUACGGUUCAACGGUUGUUCCUUUGUCGGCCAUUUUGAGGUUUAACCCAGAGUCACUUUUCAAGGCUUGCGUUCGGCCGGAAGCAAAUUAUCUUUUGGCUUUGUAAUUUCUAUUUCUGAAAAGUCACUUUUAAC
This 2797-nucleotide unclassified non-coding RNA is filed under the name Stylophora pistillata. RNAcentral's name for it is "methionyl-tRNA formyltransferase, mitochondrial-like, transcript variant X1". The record is from RNAcentral. Lineage: Eukaryota; Metazoa; Cnidaria; Anthozoa; Scleractinia; Pocilloporidae.